CAAAUGUUUAUAUCUUUAAGGAUGUUUCUUUUCUUUGAUUAAAAAGUCCCUUUCAGUCCAAGAGUGAAAAAAAAUAUUCUUAUCACUAGGAAUUUGAUGUUCUGCAAAGAAUACAGUUUUGUCAGCAAUAAAAUGGUGUAUUUCAUGUAAGUGUAUGCUUUUGCAGCUCACAAAGCAAGCACAAUGGUUUUUGUCAGUGAGACCAAGAUCCAAUAUAUUGGAGAAAGUGCUCAUAAAAUCUGAUACAGAAUCUAUCUCAAGAAAUAUUUCCCACCCCUUAAAUUUGUCCCCUUCAUUGAGGAGUUGACUUCAUGGUGAAUUACUCCAAAUAGACACUAGCUGCUAUCUUGGCCGCUUCCCUCCAGAAGUUUUCUUUACCUAUUGUCCACCUACAACCCCGUAACCUCAUAAUUCUGGUUUCC
RNAcentral lists this long non-coding RNA (422 nucleotides) under Pan paniscus (pygmy chimpanzee). Its description in RNAcentral is "lncRNA (ENSPPAG00000045041.1)". The record is from RNAcentral. Lineage: Eukaryota; Metazoa; Chordata; Mammalia; Primates; Hominidae.